This 942-nucleotide long non-coding RNA is filed under the name Homo sapiens (human). Its description in RNAcentral is "non-protein coding lnc-ABR-3:2". The record is from RNAcentral. Lineage: Eukaryota; Metazoa; Chordata; Mammalia; Primates; Hominidae.
GCGAAUGAUCCGCCAGCCUCGGCUUCCCGAGGUGCCGGGAUUGCGGACGGAGUCUCGUUCACUCAGUGCUCAAUGGUGCCCAGGCUGGAGUGCAGUAGCGUGAUCUCGGCCCGCUACAACCUCCACCUCCCAGCCGCCUGCCUUGGCCUCCCAAAGUGCCGAGAUUGCAGCCUCUGCCCGGCCGCCACCCCGUCUGGGAUGUGAGGAGCAUCUCUGCCUGGCCGCCCAUCAUCUGGGAUGUGAGGAGCCCCUCUGCCUGGCUGCCCAGUCUGGAAAGUGAGGAACGUCUCUGCCCGGCCGCCAUCCCAUCUAGGAAGUGAGGAGCGUCUCUGCCCGGCCACCCAUUGUCUGAGAUGUGGGGGCGCCUCUGCCCCGCCACCCCGUCUGGGAUGUGAGGAGCGUCUCCGCCCGGCAGCCACCCCAUCCGGGAGGUGAGGGGCGCCUCUGCCUGGCCGCCCCUACUGGGAAGUGAGGAGCCCCUCUGCCCGGCCAGCCGCCCCAUCCGGGAGGGAGGUGGGGGGUCAGCCCCCCCGCCCGGCCAGCCCCGCCUCAGCCUCCCAAGUAGCUGGGAUUACAGGCGUGAGCCACCAUGCUUGGCUGAUUUUUGUAUUUUAGGCGUGAGCCACCGCGCCCGGCCAAUGGGAACAGAGUUUUUAAGGAUAACUUGGUGGGUGGGGGAAGCCAGUGAGCCAGGAGUGCUGAUUGGUCAGAGGUGAAAUCACAGGGCGUCAAAGCUGUCUUCUUGAGCUCAAUCGUUCCUGGGUGGGGUCCGCAAGAUCAGAUGAGCCAGUUUAUUGAUGUGGGUGGUGUCAGCUGACUCAUGAAGUGCAGGGUUUCCAAAAUAUCUCAAGCGCUGAUCUUAGGAGCAGUUUAAGGAGGGUCAGAAUCUUCUGGCCUCCAGCUGCAUGACUCCUAAACCAUAAUUUCUAAUCUUGGGGCUAA